Long non-coding RNA from Macrobrachium nipponense, 936 nucleotides. RefSeq lists it as uncharacterized. The transcript has 4 exons. The record is from RefSeq and is a predicted model, not a curated record. NCBI's taxonomy places the organism in Eukaryota, Metazoa, Arthropoda, Malacostraca, Decapoda, Palaemonidae.
UAUUUUAAGCUUAAUUAAAGUAUUUUUUAUGACAUUAGCGAUGUUCAUCUGGCAACCAUGCCUCAGUACCCAAUCUGAUUAUGUAUACCCGUGACUCGCUAUGACUAUAGACUCAUCCUACGUAAACGGUUUCAUUGUAAAAAAUACAUUCAAAUUAUUACAAAUAGUGUUGGUCCAUGGGCGGCGAUCUUAGGAGAGACAAGGCGAGUCUUACCUCUGCCCUACUACCUCUUUCGGUAUAAAUGACAACUCAUAUCCAGUUACCAUCAUUUUUAUUUCGUUGUAUUUGCUGAUCUCAUAUAACGUUGCUCCGAGUUUUGCUAAGCGCUUGUGUUUAACUUUAAAAGGACAAAUGCAUUAUCUGUGUUGUGAUUGUCGAACGAAUCAUUAACUUUAUGCUUGUAAUUACGGACAAAAGGGACCUUAUGUCUUGUUUGUGUGAUAAAAGACACCAUUAGCCAUGAGCUUGUCUCUUCGAGUAAUUAUUUUAUUAUCGAUAAACCAUAGAUUUUCGUAACUCGAUGUGUUGUAAGAUUGACUCAACCUCGGUGGAUAUGGAAUAGGCCUAUACUGGAAACGACAACCAAUUUUUCCCAACUUUGCUUCCAUGGAAUUUAUACAGAGACGCACAAAAACAGGAAUGCAGCAGUAUCGGAAUGCAAAGAAGCAAGUGAAGCAGACUUUACAGAACUGUCAAUAUAAAGUAAUGCAGUGACCAGACACCGAGGAGAUGAUCAGGUUUUCCCUGCCAUGUGGAGAGAGAAACCGUAAAUAAUGGGGUUAUGGAAGAAAAUUCACGUCUCUAUGAAUUUUGGACCAAGCGAACGAAGGUGUAGUGUACAGUUCUACUCAGGCGACUCAAUUUUUUUUAGGGUCCUGACCGUGGGUUGACACAUCCGGUAUGAAGCAUCUGCGUAGCACACCAAGAUGGAAAAA